Molecule: ribosomal RNA, 253 nt
Filed under: uncultured bacterium
Lineage: Bacteria
Description: partial 16S ribosomal RNA
Rfam family: Bacterial small subunit ribosomal RNA
Source: RNAcentral
UACGUAGGGUGCGAGCGUUAAUCGGAAUUACUGGGCGUAAAGUGUGCGCAGGCGGCAGAGCAAGUCGAGUGUGAAAGCCCCGGGCUUAACUUGGGAAUUGCGCUCGAAACUACUUUGCUGGAGUGUGGCAGAGGAAGGUGGAAUUCCACGUGUAGCGGUGAAAUGCGUAGAUAUCGAGAGGAACACCUGCGGCGAAGGCGGGUUGCUGGGCUGAUACUGACGCUGAGGCGCGAAAGCCAGGGGAGCGAACGGG